This 1343-nucleotide ribosomal RNA is filed under the name uncultured bacterium. RNAcentral's name for it is "16S ribosomal RNA". It matches the Rfam family "Bacterial small subunit ribosomal RNA", at positions 28 to 1378 of the family's 1533-position model. The record is from RNAcentral.
GACGAACGCUGGCGGCGUGCUUAACACAUGCAAGUCGAACGGAAAGGCCCUGCUUUUGUGGGGUGCUCGAGUGGCGAACGGGUGAGUAACACGUGAGUAACCUGCCCUUGACUUUGGGAUAACUUCAGGAAACUGGGGCUAAUACCGGAUAGGAGCUCCUGCUGCAUGGUGGGGGUUGGAAAGUUUCGGCGGUUGGGGAUGGACUCGCGGCUUAUCAGCUUGUUGGUGGGGUAGUGGCUUACCAAGGCUUUGACGGGUAGCCGGCCUGAGAGGGUGACCGGCCACAUUGGGACUGAGAUACGGCCCAGACCCCUACGGGAGGCAGCAGUGGGGAAUAUUGCACAAUGGGCGGAAGCCUGAUGCAGCAACGCCGCGUGCGGGAUGACGGCCUUCGGGUUGUAAACCGCUUUCGCCUGUGACGAAGCGUGAGUGACAGUAAUGGGUAAAGAAGCACCGGCUAACUACGUGCCAGCAGCCGCGGUGAUACGUAGGGUGCGAGCGUUGUCCGGAUUUAUUGGGCGUAAAGGGCUCGUAGGUGGUUGAUCGCGUCGGAAGUGUAAUCUUGGGGCUUAACCCUGAGCGUGCUUUCGAUACGGGUUGACUUGAGGAAGGUAGGGGAGAAUGGAAUUCCUGGUGGAGCGGUGGAAUGCGCAGAUAUCAGGAGGAACACCAGUGGCGAAGGCGGUUCUCUGGGCCUUUCCUGACGCUGAGGAGCGAAAGCGUGGGGAGCGAACAGGCUUAGAUACCCUGGUAGUCCACGCUGUAAACGGUGGGUACUAGGUGUGGGGUCCAUUCCACGGGUUCCGUGCCGUAGCUAACGCUUUAAGUACCCCGCCUGGGGAGUACGGCCGCAAGGCUAAAACUCAAAGGAAUUGACGGGGCCCCGCACAAGCGGCGGAGCAUGCGGAUUAAUUCGAUGCAACGCGUAGAACCUUACCUGGGUUUGACAUGGAUCGGGAGUGCUCAGAGAUGGGUGUGCCUCUUUUGGGGUCGGUUCACAGGUGGUGCAUGCCUGUCGUCAGCUCGUGUCGUGAGAUGUUGGGUUAAGUCCCGCAACGAGCGCAACCCUUGUUCACUGUUGCCAGCACGUUAUGGUGGGGACUCAGUGGAGACCGCCGGGGUCAACUCGGAGGAAGGUGGGGAUGACGUCAAGUCAUCAUGCCCCUUAUGUCCAGGGCUUCACGCAUGCUACAAUGGCUGGUACAGAGAGUGGCGAGCCUGUGAGGGUGAGCGAAUCUCGGAAAGCCGGUCUCAGUUCGGAUUGGGGUCUGCAACUCGACCUCAUGAAGUCGGAGUCGCUAGUAAUCGCAGACCAGCAACGCUGCGGUGAAUACGUUCCCGGG